CAACAGUCCGCGUCGUUUUUAUUUUCUCCGAGAAAAAAAGAAACAUCGUCCUCUCAUCGUCGCCCCGCCUCCCUUCGUCGUUCCUGGCUGGUGGGCUUCUUCUUCUCCGAGUAUUCACUAUGUACACAAGCCUCCGCCCAGGGGUACCAUGCAUACGGGGACUCCAGAGAGGCACCGCCGCCAUGGGAAUCAGCCAUCAUGGGGCCUCCAGUCGCGGAGAGAGACAGCCGGCCGCCGCGGGGUUGCAUCCACGCGCUCCUCCAUCGCCGCCGCCACCCCUGCCACAUCCAUGGUUGAGGAGGCGACGCGGCUCCGCCUAACUGCGGUGGCAUGGCUCCAAGGUAAUUUGUGCCUUGUCAUCUUCCCCGUCUAGGAUUUCUGUAAUUGAAGGUGAGCAAUUCUACCUGUCUAAGAUCUAGAAAUGUGCAGUAGAAUUAAAGCUAGAAAUUUUAGUGGUUUCAGCAUUGAUCUUAAAAUGUGCAGUGAAAUCUUACAAGCCGAUUGAUCCAUUGACCUGUCACUUUUUCUAAAAUCUGGAAAAAAAAAUAAUUCCUAUGAUUUCGAUCUUUUUCCUGUUUUUGCUCUAACCAGUUUUGUUUCCCUACUACGUGCAUCGACUUGCCAUUUUGGCCAACCUGACAACUUAAGUCCAGCGAAAGGCAACAACAAAAACGGUGACUGGGAGACAAUCAUUACAUAAGGUGCUUGUCAAGACUAUCAAGGCGUAGCGUCAUUGGCGUGUACAUCUCACUGAAUCAAGGAAACCAACACAUAUUCAUCCUGUUGCUUUUCAAUUUGUCAGCACGUUCAGGGUACUAACCAAGCCUAUUUCACUGAAUGUUUGGGACUUGAUUCUUCUAAGAAGCAAUUUUGUGCUGAUCAUGAUACACACUUAAAACACUGCUGGAGAGGGAGGCGCCCACCCUCAUUUUUAGUAGGUAGAAGGUGAUAAUCGAAUCUUGGUUGGCUGGGUGAUUGUACACCCUCACUAGCCAAGUCAUCUCAGGGAGAUUCUUGCUUGUUCAGCUGAUUUUUUUUCCUUAUACAAAUACUGCAUGUACAUAUCCCUAUUCAUCCGCUUUCAAUAAAAAGUCAUGUUGUUUUAAGGCACGAGUGCAUUACAUUCCAGAUUGAUUCUUGAUUUUCUACCUUUUGCCAGUGUUUUAAGUUCAAUAAAGAAGCACUGCUAUUAUAAAAUCACUUCAUGAUCUGCUAUAAUUAUCUCGUGCAGGUUUUCAGCUGCUUUGGCCAGUACUACAUUGCCUUCCUGAGCUUCAUGCGAGAUGACAUAGAACUAAAGAACUAUAGUUACAGCCUGGAGGUUUGGGGCACCAGGCGCAAGAUGAUCGGUCAAGGGGUGCCCCGGAGCAUGAGUGACAGUCAUUGGAAGGUCCGCAAUAGCUAUGAUGGGAUCAUCAUCCAGAGGAACAUGGCCCUGUUCUUCGUAGGUGGUGACAGGAAGGAGCUCAAGCUGCGUGUCACUGAGAGAAUCUAGAAGGAACAAUAAGUUGAUCAGAUAAUAUAUCUCUUCUGCUCCAACUACUUCCAUGAACUCAUGAAUUACAUUGCAAACAGCUUAUGCCACGCGUAGGAUGAACUCAUGAAUCACACUGUAAAAGAGCUUUUGCCAUGUAUAGUAGUUUGGAAUCAACUUCUUGUGAUUCAUUCUUCUUUUCAGCUUCUUUUAGCAUGCUAUUGCCUUUUGGUUCCUGCAAGGUAGGUGUUGGUGGAUGUACAUCAUGUAGAUGCUGGUAUAGUUGCUAAUGAUGCAGAAUUAGUAUAGAUUUUCUAUGUUAUUUUCCAUGGCGAAAAUGCUAAAAAAAAAAAACU
This is a long non-coding RNA of Sorghum bicolor (sorghum), 1830 nucleotides long. RefSeq lists it as uncharacterized. NCBI's taxonomy places the organism in Eukaryota, Viridiplantae, Streptophyta, Magnoliopsida, Poales, Poaceae. The record is from RefSeq and is a predicted model, not a curated record. The transcript is spliced from 4 exons.